RNAcentral lists this ribosomal RNA (618 nucleotides) under uncultured cyanobacterium. Its description in RNAcentral is "bacterial SSU rRNA". It matches the Rfam family "Bacterial small subunit ribosomal RNA", at positions 122 to 770 of the family's 1533-position model. Lineage: Bacteria; Bacillati; Cyanobacteriota. The record is from RNAcentral.
GAAUCUGCCAAAAGGACUGGGACAACCACUGGAAACGGUGGCUAAUACCGGAUGAGCCGCAACGUAAAAGAGGAAACUCGCCUUUUGAGGAGCUCGCGUCUGAUUAGCUAGUUGGUAGGGUAAAAGCUUACCAAGGCAUCGAUCAGUAGCUGGUCUGAGAGGAUGACCAGCCACACUGGGACUGAGACACGGCCCAGACUCCUACGGGAGGCAGCAGUGGGGAAUUUUCCGCAAUGGGCGAAAGCCUGACGGAGCAAGACCGCGUGAGGGAAGAAGGCUCUUGGGUCGUAAACCUCUUUUGUCAGGGAAGAACACAAUGACGGUACCUGAAGAAUCAGCAUCGGCUAACUCCGUGCCAGCAGCCGCGGUAAUACGGAGGAUGCAAGCGUUAUCCGGAAUUAUUGGGCGUAAAGCGUCCGUAGGUGGUUUUGCAAGUCGGCUGUCAAAGCACAGGGCUUAACCCUGUAAAGGCAGUGGAAACUACAAGACUCGAGUGCAGUAGGGGCAGAGGGAAUUCCCAGUGUAGCGGUGAAAUGCGUAGAGAUUGGGAAGAACACCCGUGGCGAAAGCGCUCUGCUGGACUGCAACUGACGCUCAGGGACGAAAGCUAGGGGAGCG